Molecule: long non-coding RNA, 552 nt
Organism: Helianthus annuus (common sunflower)
Lineage: Eukaryota; Viridiplantae; Streptophyta; Magnoliopsida; Asterales; Asteraceae
Exons: 3
Source: RefSeq, a predicted model, not a curated record
GCGGUAGUCUAGAGAAGGGUUGAAACAAUAGCUAAGACUUACGCGCAGGUAGGGGUGAUUAACGGGUCAGAACUGGACCGCACUGAGCCGAAAUCAUAACCGUUAAACUGAUUUGAAGGAAGAUAUUGUCAAAGGAUUAGGCUUCAAUCUAAUGAUUUUUCCCCGCAGAUGGUGCAUGGUGCAGUUAUAUCGUUUUUGUUCUUCAAGAGGUUCUAGGAGGUUCUGAAAGGGCAGAUGAGGAUUUGGUUCAUGGAGCUUUAACAAGUGCGGAACUUGCAAUCCCAAGUGGAAAAGUUGAUUCGAAGAGCACAACAAUUCCACACUGUAGUGUUGCAAAACCGAGUCGGAGAGAUGCAACACAAAUGAGAGAAGAUAUGCAACGAUAAAUAGUCGAGUUGAUGAAAUAGUUUGGUAAUCCUAGCAAUUCUCUACCGUAGUUUAGUUUUUGUUUGCCGUCUUUUACGGUUGAACUUAUAAUUUGACAACCGUGGCAUUUUUUGUGGUUGAACCUUGUAAUUUGACAAUUGUUUGGAUGAACUUUUAGUUGGAAAA